Long non-coding RNA from Carassius gibelio (silver crucian carp), 606 nucleotides. RefSeq lists it as uncharacterized. The transcript is spliced from 3 exons. The record is from RefSeq and is a predicted model, not a curated record. Lineage: Eukaryota; Metazoa; Chordata; Actinopteri; Cypriniformes; Cyprinidae.
GAAGAAGAAGAAGUAGAGCUGAGCCAAUGACGUCAGCUGUUUUCUAAGCUUACAAGUACGAGCAUCAAAGCAUCAUGAAGAAGAUAAAUCUGCAGAGACAGAGUUUACUGAAGAACAGAGAGAACAUGAGAGAUCUAGAACCCUGCAGAACCAUACACACUGAAGAACUAACAGGUGUGUUUCUGAUUCAGAUGAAGUGAAGUCAGUGUCUGUGAUGGAGGGAGAUUCAGUCUCUCUACAGACUAACACUGAACUACAGACAAAUGAUGAGGUAUUCUGGACAUGUGGACACUCAGAGACUCGUAUAGCUGAAAUUGAUAAAGACACUGGAAGAUUCUCCACAUGUGAUGUUCUUGAUGUGAGAUUCAGAGACAGACUGAAGCUGGAUCAUCAGACUGGAUCUGAUCAUCACAAACACCAGAAACACAGACUCUGGACUUUAUCAAGUGACCAUCAGAGGGAGAAGAUUGGCCACAUACAGAUUCAAUCUUACUGUCUCUGGUGAGUCACAAUUACAUUUGUGUCAGUUUUCAUAAAAAUAUUUUCAUGAACCAAAUCAAAAAGCAAUAAAAAAACAUUUAAAAACAUUUAUUCAGAGACCAUAAA